RNAcentral lists this ribosomal RNA (253 nucleotides) under uncultured bacterium. RNAcentral describes it as "partial 16S ribosomal RNA". It matches the Rfam family "Bacterial small subunit ribosomal RNA", at positions 524 to 776 of the family's 1533-position model. The record is from RNAcentral.
UACGUAGGGGGCAAGCGUUGUCCGGAAUCCUUGGGCGUAAAGAGCGUGUAGGCGGCUCGGUAAGUCCGCUGUGAAAGUCCAGGGCUCAACCCUGGAAUGCCGGUGGAAACUGUCGGGCUAGAGUCCGGAAGAGGCGAGUGGAAUUCCUGGUGUAGCGGUGAAAUGCGCAGAUAUCAGGAGGAACACCAAUGGCGAAGGCAGCUCGCUGGGACGGUACUGACGCUGAGACGCGAAAGCGUGGGGAGCAAACAGG